GCCGGGUUUGGUGGAGCACACCUGUAAUCCCAGCGGUUUGGGAGGCUGAGGCAGGAGGAUCUCAAGUUCAAAGCCAGCUUGAGCAAAGUAGCAAGACCCUGUUUCAA
This 107-nucleotide small RNA is filed under the name Marmota monax (woodchuck). Lineage: Eukaryota; Metazoa; Chordata; Mammalia; Rodentia; Sciuridae. The record is from RNAcentral.